ACCAACUUCUUUGCAAAGCCAUAUUGUCACUUAAUCUAUGGAAUGUAAAGAAGUUUGUGG
Molecule: microRNA precursor, 60 nt
Filed under: Brachionus plicatilis
Lineage: Eukaryota; Metazoa; Rotifera; Eurotatoria; Ploima; Brachionidae
Description: Bpl-Mir-1-P22_pre stem-loop
Source: RNAcentral